UACAGAGGUCUCAAGCGUUGUUCGGAAUCACUGGGCGCAAAGGGUGCGUAGGCCGCACGGUAAGUCAGAGGUGAAAUCCCGGAGCUCAACUUCGGAAUUGCCUCCGAUACUGCCGUGCUUGAGGACUGGAGAGGAGAUUGGAAUUCACAGUGGAGCAGUGAAAUGCGUAGAUAUUGUGAGGAACACUAGUGGCGAAGGCGAAUCUCUGGACAGUUCCUGACGCUGAGGCACGAAGGCCAGGGGAGCAAACGGG
Molecule: ribosomal RNA, 253 nt
Filed under: uncultured bacterium
Lineage: Bacteria
Description: partial 16S ribosomal RNA
Rfam family: Bacterial small subunit ribosomal RNA
Source: RNAcentral